RNAcentral lists this unclassified non-coding RNA (397 nucleotides) under Hevea brasiliensis (rubber tree). Lineage: Eukaryota; Viridiplantae; Streptophyta; Magnoliopsida; Malpighiales; Euphorbiaceae. The record is from RNAcentral.
UUAAGUUCCUUUCAAAUUUAGGAAUAUAUCUCACUUCAUCAAACACUUUUACUUGAUUACCAUGCAGCUUAAUCUUCACUCUUCCAAUACUUUCAACUUCCAUCUUGUUCCCAUUGGCUAGCUUCACUUUUUUUUCCUUUCUUUUCUUCAAUCACAUCAAAGCACUCCUCCUUUGAGCAAAUAUAGAAUGGACAAGCAGAAUCCAUUAUCCACUCAUCUUGUAAUGGAUCUUUUGCCUUUUCCUUGUCAUCAUCUAUAUACAAAUAUUCACCACCAUAAUCAAUUGUAAUUGUAGCAGUUCCUUCUUUUUCUCUUUCUUUUUCGUGACUCUUCUUGAAUUGUGUAAGCUCUGCAAAAUGUUCCUUUAUCCUUUUACAAUGGUAUUGAAUGUGGCCCU